GAAAUACCCAAUUUCUUUGUACAGUUCCUCCAUUAAUUAGUUCCACUGACAGAGAAAAAUAGAGAAAUAAAAUGGGAAGAAGAAGAGGAGAGAUGGCAUUCAUUUUGGUAAUUCUUUGUUCAUCUAUGAUGGCUUCCUUUGCUUUCACACAACUCUUCACAAUAGAUUCUAAACAGCAUAUAACUGUUAGAGAACACAAUAAUUCAAGAUUUGUUGAACGUCGAGGGGGAGGUAGGGGAGUGAUCCCAAUAUAUGUGGCUGGCGCUUCAUCAGGCCGUCAUGGAAAGCAUAGCCACAGCCUUGGAAAUCGUCCUAACAACUAUAUAGAGUUUAUAAUAAUUGGUGUUUCCAUCUCUAUUGCACUUUUGUGUAGAUUUAUAUGAUACCCAAACACAUUCCAAACCUUAUAUAAUGUGCAAUACACCUGUGUAUUUAGAAUCUUUUAUUAUGCAAUUUACAAGUUACGGUCGUCACAAAGUUAAUAUUGUGAGACCGGCGUGUACUAUUGACGCUUGGAUUGAGGAGCAUGAGUGUUAGAAGACUAGAAGCUAUUGCAAGGAAUUUUCCCACAUUUAUUUAUUUAUUAAAAUAAUAUUUUGUUCCA
Molecule: long non-coding RNA, 604 nt
Organism: Cucumis sativus (cucumber)
Lineage: Eukaryota; Viridiplantae; Streptophyta; Magnoliopsida; Cucurbitales; Cucurbitaceae
Exons: 2
Source: RefSeq, a predicted model, not a curated record